UACGUAGGGGGCAAGCGUUAUCCGGAAUUACUGGGCGUAAAGCGCACGCAGGCGGUUCGCCAAGUUUGGAGUGACAGUUGUCGGCUCAACCGACAAAGGACUUCAAAAACUGGUGAACUUGAGGACGAGAGAGGAACAUGGAACUCCAGGUGUAGUAGUGAAAUGCGUAGAUAUCUGGAAGAACACCAAUGGCGAAGGCAAUGUUCUGGCUCGUUUCUGACGCUCAGGUGCGAAAGCCAGGGGAGCGAACGGAG
RNAcentral lists this ribosomal RNA (254 nucleotides) under uncultured bacterium. Its description in RNAcentral is "partial 16S ribosomal RNA". It matches the Rfam family "Bacterial small subunit ribosomal RNA", at positions 524 to 777 of the family's 1533-position model. The record is from RNAcentral.